AGAGCCGCAGUGAAUAGGCCCAAGCGACUGUUUAUCAAAAACACAGGUCUCUGCUAAACCGUAAGGUGAUGUAUAGGGGCUGACGCCUGCCCGGUGCUGGAAGGUUAAGAGGAGUGGUUAGCUUCUGCGAAGCUACGAAUCGAAGCCCCAGUAAACGGCGGCCGUAACUAUAACGGUCCUAAGGUAGCGAAAUUCCUUGUCGGGUAAGUUCCGACCCGCACGAAAGGCGUAACGAUUUGGGCACUGUCUCAACGAGAGACUCGGUGAAAUCAUAGUACCUGUGAAGAUGCAGGUUACCCGCGACAGGACGGAAAGACCCCGUGGAGCUUUACUG
Molecule: ribosomal RNA, 334 nt
Filed under: Staphylococcus lloydii
Lineage: Bacteria; Bacillati; Bacillota; Bacilli; Caryophanales; Staphylococcaceae
Description: partial 23S ribosomal RNA
Rfam family: Bacterial large subunit ribosomal RNA
Source: RNAcentral